Molecule: ribosomal RNA, 232 nt
Filed under: uncultured bacterium
Lineage: Bacteria
Description: partial 16S ribosomal RNA
Rfam family: Bacterial small subunit ribosomal RNA
Source: RNAcentral
GAUCAUGGCUCAGGAUGGACGCUAGCGGCAGGCUUAACACAUUCAAGUCGAGGGGCAGCAUAAUGGAUAGCAAUAUCUAUGGUGGCGACCGGCGCACGGGUGCGUAACGCGUAUGCAACCUACCUUUAACAGGGGGAUAACACUGAGAAAUUGGUACUAAUACCCCAUAAUAUCAUAGAAGGCAUCUUUUAUGGUUGAAAAUUCCGAUGGUUAGAGAUGGGCAUGCGUUGUA